AGUAGCAUGCAUCCGAGUUUCACUCGAACUCAACAUUUGGAAUGUGGGCAAUCUUGGGCCAGUCCACACCAGAUGUCUUAUUAUAUCUUUGAUGUAACAUUGGGCACCGUUUAAUGGACAAUUUCAUUAAAGCGCGUAACAUCUGCCCUUCUGGCAAUGAAUUCAAAUUGGGGCAGCCAAAAAUUUCAAGAGAUUGGAGUGAUGAGAGGUUGCCCAUAGCUUCUGGCAAUGAAUUCAAAUUGAGGCACUCAUAAAUAACAAGAGAUUGGAGUGAUGAGAGGUUGCCGAUAGAUUCUGGCAAUGACGUCAAAUUGGGGCAAUACCUAAUCUCAAGAGAUCGGAGUGAUGAGAGGUUGCCGAUAGAUUCUGGCAAUGACGUCAAAUUGGGGCAACAGCUAAUCCGAAGAGAUUGGAGAGAUGAGAGGUAGGCCACACCUUCUUGUGGAAGAGAUUGUAGGUCAUCAAUGUUCCCAAUGGUCAUUCGCACCAAUUUGGAUAGAGAUUGGAAUGAUGAUGACGGCGAUGCACCGGAACUAGCUUCCUUAUGUGCCAUCAUCAUCGUCUCAAGUAAUGGCUUCGAGCUUGUACGAAUCAGGAAUAACCAUUCAAGAGAUGGAAAUAGUGGCAUGGAAGUUAGUUUUGGACAACUCCGAAUCCAAAGUUCCUUCAGGGAAGGGAAGAAUGGUAUUAUGUCACAACUAGUAGCAGUAUUCUGAUCAUCAUCAAUAAAAGAGCCUAACAUUUUGUGUUGAUGUGGAUAUAAAAGAGCCUAACAUUUUGUUUUUUGUUGGUGAAAUAAAAAAGCCUUACAUUGCCAUAUAAGCUUUCUGCGAACUACAUGAGUCGUUAUAUCAUAAGCUUUUUAGAAAACCAAAAAAAUAAAAAAUAAAAAAUUUCACUUACACUCUUUUUGUUUAUGUAUUUUUAAUGAAAUUUGCUUAGACGCCUUUAAUGUUAUAUAAUUACUGUUAUUUUUUCUUUUUUUUCUUUUUUUUUGGGUUGUUGUAAAGAAGACAAUUUAGUUGUUACUUGUUAGGAUAAUAAGAAUAUAACCAUGCUCCAGCUUUCAAUAAUUAAAAUUUUUGAAAAAGAUGGUAAUUCAACAUAGCAUUAAAACAAAAAUGAUCUAAAAAAUAAGAUUCCAUCCACUACAUUAUAUUUAUAUACCAAAAAACUCAAUGAGGCAGAAGUCCACAUUCCAUAUAAGAGUUUGUAUUUCCUUCUUUUUCAGGUUAAUCUAUCCUUUUAUUAGGUGUUAAAUAAUAUAGAAAUAUAGGCAACAAUGAUCAGACUGUUUGGCAAUCAAAACCUAACUAAAUAAAUUAUAGUAAUUGAACAUUGAACCAUGAAAACAAAGAAAUCAGAAUGAUUUAUUGCAGUAUCAUUUAAAAAAAAAAAAAAAGAUAUCAAAAUACUUUGAUUUGAAUACCAAAAUUGAACUAAAAUACUCAACAAUAUUAUCAAAUUAACAUUUACGAAAAUUAAAAAGUUAAAAAAAAGAAAAAAAAAAAGAGGAAGAUAAAGAAGAAAAAGAACAGAUCGCAAAAAGGACAGAGCAGAUAUCAAAAAUUGAAUCCAAAGAAUACCAAAAAUAAAUAAAUAAAUAAAAUCUGUGAAAUGUAUAAACAUAUAAUACCUUACCCAAAAUUUAGUAGUUAUAAGAAAAACAAGAACAAAUUAAUGCAUCGCACAAAAAUCCAGAAAAAAAAAUAAA
Molecule: long non-coding RNA, 1714 nt
Organism: Ziziphus jujuba (common jujube)
Lineage: Eukaryota; Viridiplantae; Streptophyta; Magnoliopsida; Rosales; Rhamnaceae
Exons: 2
Source: RefSeq, a predicted model, not a curated record